UAGAGUAACAAGAAAUUUCACAGCUCCAAAGAGUGAACCUACCAUGGAUUAGUACCAGAGACAGAAAUACUUCCUCUAAAACCAUGAAGGAAGUCCCGGAAUCUAGCCCUUUACCACUGAACUGCUGUGGCUUGAUUGUGUGAAACUGAAUUUCAAGAUGCAAGAUACUGUUCAGAUAGUUCUGCAAUAUAUUCCUCAGAUCCAGCAGCUUUGGCAGGAGAGAGCCCAUGGGUGAUGGAAUAACCAGAUCUCUGCGUCCAUCUCAUGAAAAACAGACCCUUUCUUCUGGAUUCCACAGGAUUCUCCCAGCAGCCAGCCUUGUUUACAGAAGUCAGCAGGAAUAGUAACAGCUCUUCAUAAACGAGCCAUGGAGAAACCUUUUGGGAAGGCGCCUCACAGUGCUUUGUCAUCUGCUGACAAACUGGUGCCAGGACCAGAACUUCAUAAUAAAGUCUUCAGAGAAAAUUUUGCAGCAGAUCAAGGAAUCUCAAAGAGCAAAUUACCUGAGCCGUAAUGGAGGAGGCUGCUAUGCCGCUGAUUCUCUGCUCCCUUCCACACUGCAGAGCUGGAUUCAUGGCAGCCGGAGGUGCUGCUCUUCUGCAGAGCAGCAGCAAACUGGCAACCGUGUAUGUUAAAGAUCACAGGGGAUGCUGUGCCUUGCUGAAGCACGUUGCUUCCAGGGCUGAGGUGAUGUUUCUGCCACCACAGCAGACUUCCUGUUCUCAGGUAGGAGCCUCGGGGGACUGGCUUUUCUGCUUCCCUCCUUGGGAUGAGUGAAAAAGAGCUAAAUGGACAAAACCUUAUCAUGUUGUUGAAGAUCAGGACAAUAGGAGUUGAUACAGAACAGUAUCAUAAAUGGCUUUGCAUUUGGGGCACAAAAGCACCCAGCUCUCACAAAAUGCCUGCAGGUAGCUCUGCAGGUGGACCCAAAGCUGAACCCUCACGUGGGGUCUGCUGCCUCAUCACCGGGCUCAGCUGUGAGUGCAGGCCUCUCUCUGAGCCGCAUGCUUCCAGCAGCACAGAAGGGUGGCAGCCCUGGGCCCAGCCCUGCGUCUGAGCACAGCUUUGGUCAGAUGCUGGGAGCAAGGCUUAACUUUCCUGUGGUCUCUCCUGUUCAAACUGACAAACACAGCUGCCCUGUGGGUGUUUGGAAAUUACCCUGAGUGUACGUAUGUGUUAUAGGAGAACACCUGAAGCAGCGGAUGUCCUGGCAGACUGUCAGGCAGGGCACUCAGGUACCUUAGUGCUGCUUUGCUGCCUAACGCCAAAGGACUGGACUUUUACAGCAGCGUGCUUUGCACAACCAGAUAGGAAUAGUAGCAAUAUCCAGCACCGAUUCCAUCCCUCCCGCUCCUGGUCUGUUUCCAUACGUAGUGCUCAUGCAACGUGAUUUCUACAUUAAACGGGCUCUUAUGUGAAAGCGUUCUCAGCUUUCAAGUUUAGGUUUAAAAAUCCAGCAUGGAACGGAUGAAGUGAAAUGUUUGUUUUGGACCGCGCGUUGACAAAGGGGAGGAAACCCCUCGCUGUGGGAUGGCAGCCGCGGGUCAGAAGCGUGUAAGCAGCCGUUACCGCCAUCCAGAGGAGAGCAGCCAUCAGCCGUCAGAUUUCAUUUUGUUGUGCGUGGAAAGGAGAACCCAACCGGUUGGUCUGGUUCGUGCUGAGACAUCCCAGAGGAGAAAAACAACAUCCAAAAUGACAACCGGUUUCAUACGGCCUGUUUUUUAAACUUGAAGUCCAAACAAAAGCAAUCUUUUGGUAGAGAUCUGCGUUAGAAGCUGGCAGGAGCACUACUGAGAUGUAAGGAGGUGCGUGGGCCAGUACUCAAAAGAUUGGAUACAGUUUUCCACCACAUCUGUCCGAACAAAUCUGUGCAAACUUUGAGCAAGUUUGGCAAGAAGCAUCCUGGUUUUGUUUUUACAGCCCUAACAAGGAAAGGAAAAACUCCCUUGUGUAUUGGGUAUCCCUUGAAAUGGGUAAAAUGUGCUAAAAUGUGUUUAUGUGCUUUAAGACAAUCAUAAAUCAGGACAACUCUUUGAAGACAAUUUAAGGUAAUAAUUUCAUGACCGUUCCUGAAAUUUCUUAGUCCAUAUAGCUGCUGAAAUGGACAAGGGCCAACACUAACAGCCCGCGUUGGGUGCUGCCAGAUGAAAUCAUCACCCCUGCUAGCUCCCCUUAGCACAGCAUGUGCCUCACUGGCAGCCUUGGUCAGCAAACUGGUGACUCCUCCUGCCAGCUCUGAGGAUGACAGUGAAAUUAAAUUCUUCUGAAUGCAGCACUUAUUCAAGGCAGGAAAUCACUUUCUUUUGCACG
This is a long non-coding RNA of Lagopus muta (rock ptarmigan), 2310 nucleotides long. RefSeq lists it as uncharacterized. The record is from RefSeq and is a predicted model, not a curated record. NCBI's taxonomy places the organism in Eukaryota, Metazoa, Chordata, Aves, Galliformes, Phasianidae. The transcript is spliced from 5 exons.